UGGUGCAAGAUUUUUUUGCUGUGUUGAAAACAAUUCGUGGCCUUCCGUUGUUUUUUGCUCUUUGUCAGACUUACUGUAUUGAAUAUAUAUGUACUUUGUAAGACAACUUGCUUUCAAUACAUUAUUUAUGCUGAAACUUUAUUACUAUAUAUUAAGGUAACUUUGCUGUUACAGUCUUUGCCAAACUGAAAUUUGAACUUUUCUACUAUACAUUCAACUAAAACAUCUUGAAAGUUCUUUCUGUCUGAAUUGCUUUUUGUCUGAGACUUGUUGGUGAGACAGAGUUUGGGAUUCACUGCUGUUACAAAUAGUAAGGAGAAUUUAUUAAAAAAGAUAUAAUGCAAUAGAGAAACAACUGAUAACUUAUAAGGGGUAUACUAUACAUGGUAUAUAUCAAUGAAUCAACAUUAGUAAAUACACAGCGAAAAAAAAAGAAACACAUACAAUUGCAAGAUGGCCCCUAUAUGGUUUUUUGAACCUCAUGGAAAAUUGACCAUCAGGUCAAAAUACAGCUAUGGCAAUUUAACCCCCUUGUAUGGAAAAUUGAACAUUGGGGUAAAAUAUAGAUUUUGGCUUACAAAAAAUGUAUAUCUCUGAAAACAAAGCAUUUAGAGCAAAUCUGACAUGGGGUAAAAUUGUUUAACCAAAUAUUAUGAAACUUACACACCCUGAUAAUAUCAACUAAAUGCAGAUCAAGUACAAAUUUGGGUAGGUCACUUUUACUGUUCUGGAGUUAUUUCCCUUAUUAUAACAUUAUACCUAUGCAAGAGGGGGCAUCAUCUGUGUCCCAUGGAGAUAAAAAAAAACAAAAUUAUGAAAAUGGACAAAUCUGACAUUUUGAUAAACCAAAUAUUUAUAGUGAAUCUAGUGUUUUAUUUAGAGAUGUCUAAAAGGAUGGAACAUGAUGAUCCGGC
Molecule: long non-coding RNA, 914 nt
Filed under: Mytilus galloprovincialis (Mediterranean mussel)
Lineage: Eukaryota; Metazoa; Mollusca; Bivalvia; Mytilida; Mytilidae
Source: RNAcentral